RNAcentral lists this ribosomal RNA (460 nucleotides) under uncultured bacterium. Its description in RNAcentral is "partial 16S ribosomal RNA". It matches the Rfam family "Bacterial small subunit ribosomal RNA", at positions 338 to 795 of the family's 1533-position model. The record is from RNAcentral.
CCUACGGGAGGCAGCAGUGAGGAAUAUUGGUCAAUGGACGAGAGUCUGAACCAGCCAAGUAGCGUGAAGGAUGACUGCCCUAUGGGUUGUAAACUUCUUUUAUAAAGGAAUAAAACGAGGCACGUGUGCCUUUUUGCAUGUACUUUAUGAAUAAGGAUCGGCUAACUCCGUGCCAGCAGCCGCGGUAAUACGGAGGAUCCGAGCGUUAUCCGGAUUUAUUGGGUUUAAAGGGAGCGUAGAUGGGUUGUUAAGUUAGUUGUGAAAGUUUGCGGCUCAACCGUAAAAUUGCAAUUGAUACUGGCAGUCUAGAGUACAGUUGAGGUAGGCGGAAUUCGUGGUGUAGCGGUGAAAUGCUUAGAUAUCACGAAGAACCCCGAUUGCGAAGGCAGCUUACUAAACUGUGACUGACAUUGAUGCUCGAAAGUGUGGGUAUCAAACAGGAUUAGAUACCCCAGUAGUC